This 116-nucleotide ribosomal RNA is filed under the name Pteropus alecto (black flying fox). The record is from RNAcentral. Lineage: Eukaryota; Metazoa; Chordata; Mammalia; Chiroptera; Pteropodidae.
GUCUAUGGCCAUGACACCCUGAACAAGCCCGAUCUCAUUUGAUCUCAGAAGCUAAGGGUUGGGCCUGGUUAGUACUUGGAUGUGAGACCACCUAGGAAGACCAGGUGCUGCAGGUG